This 206-nucleotide ribosomal RNA is filed under the name uncultured bacterium. RNAcentral's name for it is "partial 16S ribosomal RNA". It matches the Rfam family "Bacterial small subunit ribosomal RNA", at positions 568 to 773 of the family's 1533-position model. The record is from RNAcentral.
CGUGUAGGUGGUUGGGUAUGUUAGAUGUGAAAUCCCUCGGCUCAACCGAGGAACUGCAUCUAAAGCCACCCGACUUGAGUAUCGGAGAGGAAAGUGGAAUUCCUGGUGUAGCGGUGAAAUGCGUAGAUAUCAGGAGGAACGCCGGUGGCGAAAGCGACUUUCUAGACGAAUACUGACACUAAAGUGCGAAAGCCAGGGGAGCGAAG